UCAUGUUAGAAUAAUGUCAAAGUGCUUACAGUGCAGGUAGUGAUUUAUAGAACCUACUGCAGUGAAGGCACUUGUAGCAUUAUGCUGGCAAG
MicroRNA precursor from Laticauda laticaudata (blue-ringed sea krait), 92 nucleotides. Ensembl annotates it as microRNA 17. Its record names the gene MIR17. NCBI's taxonomy places the organism in Eukaryota, Metazoa, Chordata, Lepidosauria, Squamata, Elapidae. The record is from Ensembl.